This 262-nucleotide ribosomal RNA is filed under the name uncultured prokaryote. RNAcentral's name for it is "partial 16S ribosomal RNA". It matches the Rfam family "Bacterial small subunit ribosomal RNA", at positions 524 to 784 of the family's 1533-position model. The record is from RNAcentral.
UACGGAGGAUCCGAGCGUUAUCCGGAAUUAUUGGGUUUAAAGGGUGCGUAGGCGGCCAUUUAAGUCAGCGGUGAAAUUUUGCAGCUUAACUGUAACAGUGCCGUUGGUACUGUUUGGCUAGGGAUUUGGUUGUAGUGUGCGGAAUGUGUGGUGUAGCGGUGAAAUGCUUAGAUAUCACACAGAACACCGAUUGCGAAGGCAGCACACUAAGUCAUUAUUGACGCUGAGGCACGAAAGUGUGGGGAUCAAACAGGAUUAGAUA